GAACGUCCUACGGGAGGCAGCAGUGGGGAAUAUUGCACAAUGGGGGAAACCCUGAUGCAGCGACGCCGCGUGGAGGAAGAAGGUCUUCGGAUUGUAAAACUCCUGUUGUUGAGGAAGAUAAUGACGGUACUCAACAAGGAAGUGACGGCUAACUACGUGC
RNAcentral lists this ribosomal RNA (160 nucleotides) under uncultured bacterium. RNAcentral's name for it is "partial 16S ribosomal RNA". It matches the Rfam family "Bacterial small subunit ribosomal RNA", at positions 333 to 508 of the family's 1533-position model. The record is from RNAcentral.